UCGGGAAUAUUGCGCAAUGGAGGAAACUCUGACGCAGUGACGCCGCGUGCAGGAAGAAGGUUUUCGGAUUGUAAACUGCUUUAGACAGGGAAGAAAAAGGACAGUACCUGUAGAAUAAGCUCCGGCUAACUACGUGCCAGCAGCCGCGGUAAUACGUAGGGAGCAAGCGUUAUCCGGAUUUAUUGGGUGUAAAGGGUGCGUAGACGGGAAGGCAAGUUGGUUGUGAAAUCCCUCGGCUUAACUGAGGAACUGCAACCAAAACUAUCUUUCUUGAGUGCUGGAGAGGAAAGUGGAAUUCCUAGU
RNAcentral lists this ribosomal RNA (303 nucleotides) under uncultured bacterium. RNAcentral's name for it is "bacterial SSU rRNA". It matches the Rfam family "Bacterial small subunit ribosomal RNA", at positions 355 to 674 of the family's 1533-position model. The record is from RNAcentral.